This is a long non-coding RNA of Fukomys damarensis (Damara mole-rat), 324 nucleotides long. RefSeq lists it as uncharacterized. Lineage: Eukaryota; Metazoa; Chordata; Mammalia; Rodentia; Bathyergidae. The record is from RefSeq and is a predicted model, not a curated record. The transcript has 3 exons.
UUGCAGUUUUUCUGACUUUAUCAUAGAUGUGGAAGUGCUAAGUGUGCUAUGAUGGAGGACAAUUUUGCCGUCAUGAAUUAUUUUCUGAAGAAUAUCCUCAUGGGAAACUCGAUGGGGUACCCCCACAGCCUUCAACUACCUACCUCCUGGCAGGCACACCACUGGUAUAACUGAAGAUGUGGCAGUUUUACAAAACUGAAGUUGAGGAACUCUUCUUGAAGUCAAUUUUAAGGUGAAAUAGCCCACCUAAAAGCCCAUGAGAGCUGGGUAUGGUAGCAUUCAUCUGUAAUUCCAGCACUCAGGAGGCUGGGGCACAAGGAUCAC